RNAcentral lists this unclassified non-coding RNA (168 nucleotides) under plant metagenome. Its description in RNAcentral is "partial contains 5.8S ribosomal RNA, internal transcribed spacer 2, and large subunit ribosomal RNA". The record is from RNAcentral.
AGACCAAAUGCGAAGCGUUGGCCUCGGUAAUCGCAAGCGCCCACACUGAUCAUACGAUGACGUAGGAUGACGGCUCCGCCUCUCGAAGGGGGUGGGGCCGAUUUUCUUUCGAGGUGGCCCGCGUUCAGGGGGUGCGGGUCCAAAUGGCGCGAGGGACCCAUUCAAUCG